UCCACCUCUCUGGGGCUGUUAAAGCGUGUUCUCCGUCACAUCUAAAGAGCUUCUUAUCCAGUACCCCGUUGUCAUCAAGCGCGACGGUUCGAUCCAUCCUGGGAGCCUUUGUGAGGGUGGGCGACCUGAAUAGAGUGCCUGUCAUAGCUCUGUCUGCCCACGCCCAGCAUCAUUCAGCUCUCAGGAAAGCAUGAGAAAGAUAAGGAAAAUGCCAGUGAAACAAGGAGGUAUGUUUGGCUUCUCUGCUCCGAAAAUGAUUGAGGUGUUUUUGUAACAAGCACGUGCCACUUUUUGGAAAACUGUAUUUUUCAAUAGAAUUUUUCCCCUGGGUGCCGGAUCUGCGGGCUACAAAGGACGUGCAACGUCCUGAUUUUGACAUGUUUUCCUUGUCUGUUGUUUCUGUUCACUUUGGGUUUUAUUGCGUUUUGUUUCCAUAGUUUGGGGGUGAGGGUGGAGGAUAGAGGGAGGAAACCAGCUCUUUCCUAUUCCUCACUUUAAUCCUAAAAUAAGAGCUUUAUUGUUUUGUUUUGUUUUUUGAACGAGAUGGUUUAGGAGCAAAAUGACAGAGGUUUUUAUUUGGGGUACUCUCUUUAAAGAAAACUAGUGG
RNAcentral lists this long non-coding RNA (607 nucleotides) under Capra hircus (goat). Its description in RNAcentral is "lncRNA (ENSCHIG00000002344.1)". The record is from RNAcentral. Lineage: Eukaryota; Metazoa; Chordata; Mammalia; Artiodactyla; Bovidae.